GAUGAACGCUGGCGGCGUGCCUAAUACAUGCAAGUCGAGCGAACAGACGAGGAGCUUGCUCCUCUGACGUUAGCGGCGGACGGGUGAGUAACACGUGGAUAACCUACCUAUAAGACUGGGAUAACUUCGGGAAACCGGAGCUAAUACCGGAUAAUAUAUUGAACCGCAUGGUUCAAUAGUGAAAGACGGUUUUGCUGUCACUUAUAGAUGGAUCCGCGCCGCAUUAGCUAGUUGGUAAGGUAACGGCUUACCAAGGCAACGAUGCGUAGCCGACCUGAGAGGGUGAUCGGCCACACUGGAACUGAGACACGGUCCAGACUCCUACGGGAGGCAGCAGUAGGGAAUCUUCCGCAAUGGGCGAAAACUUGACGGAGCAACGCCGCGUGAGUGAUGAAGGUCUUCGGAUCGUAAAACUCUGUUAUUAGGGAAGAACAAAUGUGUAAGUAACUAUGCACGUCUUGACGGUACCUAAUCAGAAAGCCACGGCUAACUACGUG
RNAcentral lists this ribosomal RNA (497 nucleotides) under uncultured bacterium. RNAcentral describes it as "partial 16S ribosomal RNA". It matches the Rfam family "Bacterial small subunit ribosomal RNA", at positions 28 to 507 of the family's 1533-position model. The record is from RNAcentral.